AACGAACGCUGGCGGCAGGCUUAACACAUGCAAGUCGAACGAGAUCUUCGGAUCUAGUGGCAGACGGGUGAGGAACACGUGGGAACAUCCCUUUCAAUUCGGAAUAACGUUGGGAAACUAACGCUAAUACCGGAUACGUCCUUCGGGAGUAAGAUUUAUCGCUGAAAGAUUGGCCCGCGUCUGAUUAGCUAGUUGGUGAGGUAACGGCUCACCAAGGCUACGAUCAGUAGCUGAUCUGAGAGGAUGAUCAGCCACAUUGGGACUGAGACACGGCACAAACUCCUACGGGAGGCAGCAGUGGGGAAUAUUGGACAAUGAGCGCAAGCCUGAUCCAGCCAUGCCGCGUGAGUGAUGAAGGCCUUCGGGUUGUAAAGCUCUUUUGUCCGGGAAGAUAAUGACUGUACCGGAAGAAUAAGCCCCGGCAAACUUCGUGCCAGCCGCCGCAGUAA
This 449-nucleotide ribosomal RNA is filed under the name uncultured bacterium. Its description in RNAcentral is "partial 16S ribosomal RNA". It matches the Rfam family "Bacterial small subunit ribosomal RNA", at positions 29 to 523 of the family's 1533-position model. The record is from RNAcentral.